UACGUAGGGUCCAAGCGUUAUCCGGAUUUACUGGGUGUAAAGGGCGAGUAGACGGCAUAUCAAGUCAGCUGUGAAAACUAGGGGCUCAACCCCAAGCGUGCAGUUGAAACUGGUAAGCUAGAGUGCAGAAGAGGUAAGUGGAAUUCCUAGUGUAGCGGAGAAAUGCGUAGAUAUUAGGAGGAACACCAGUGGCGAAGGCGACUUACUGGGCUGUAACUGACGUUGUGGCGCGAAAGUGUGGGGAGCAAAC
This 250-nucleotide ribosomal RNA is filed under the name uncultured prokaryote. RNAcentral's name for it is "partial 16S ribosomal RNA". It matches the Rfam family "Bacterial small subunit ribosomal RNA", at positions 524 to 773 of the family's 1533-position model. The record is from RNAcentral.